Molecule: non-coding RNA, 474 nt
Organism: Malaclemys terrapin pileata
Lineage: Eukaryota; Metazoa; Chordata; Testudines; Emydidae
Source: the annotation of a RefSeq genome assembly
AUGGCCUGGGCCCCUCUGCUCCUCACGCUGCUCACUUACUGCAUUGGUUUCAGUUCCCAGCAACUCCAGUCACUGAAGGCAUCCGAGUUCGUGUCUCCUGGAGGGACCGUGACCCUCUCCUGCAGCCUGAGCAGUGGGGCCAUCGCUGAUGGCAACUACCCGUUCUGGAUUCAACAGAGACUGGGGAAUGUUCCUCGGCUGAUCAUGCACACUACGAGUACCAGGCCCUCGGGGAUCCCAGAGCGUUUCACUGGCUCCAGAUCGGGUAACACCAUGUCCUUGACCAUCAAGGGGGCCCUGGCGGAGGAUGAUGCUGAUUAUUACUGUUGGCAAAGCUUGCUGGGCACGUCGGUGUCGCUGCUCCUGGCUCAGAAGCUGGGAGGGCAUCAGACACUUGGCUACAUGAACAGGAGAAACAUAUUUCCUCACCCGUGUAAGGCCAGCUCCAGCCAACCCCCAGAGCAGUCCCUGUGA